AGUAAAUCCAAUUGUAGGGGAUAUUAAGUCCUUUGGUGUUUUCCAAAGUGUUUGAUCAAGUUUCAGUUGUGGAAGUCUGCACCAUAUACAUCUCCAUUUCUUUGAUAAGAUACUUGUCCUCACAACAUCUCAGGAAGGCAACCUCAUUAGAAUCUCAUCUAUUACACUAUCGGGAAGGUUCACACACCACAUCAAAAGGCAACAGUUGCUUUUUUCCAUUUGGAGGCAUAAUACUAAAUGACUAGCAACAACAAUUCGCAAA
Lycium ferocissimum is the source of this 262-nucleotide long non-coding RNA. RefSeq lists it as uncharacterized. The record is from RefSeq and is a predicted model, not a curated record. NCBI's taxonomy places the organism in Eukaryota, Viridiplantae, Streptophyta, Magnoliopsida, Solanales, Solanaceae. The transcript has 2 exons.